This is a small nucleolar RNA of Chrysolophus pictus (golden pheasant), 82 nucleotides long. The record is from Ensembl. Lineage: Eukaryota; Metazoa; Chordata; Aves; Galliformes; Phasianidae.
CAGCCUGAAAUGAUGCUGUGAAUUCAUGUCUCUUCUCUGAGGUGCAUUGUGGAGACAACUAGAUGAAUCUCUGAUCAGGCUU